ACUGUAACGUCUGCCAUUGGCUCAGGAGGUUU
This 32-nucleotide non-coding RNA is filed under the name Geobacter sulfurreducens PCA. The record is from RNAcentral. Lineage: Bacteria; Pseudomonadati; Thermodesulfobacteriota; Desulfuromonadia; Geobacterales; Geobacteraceae.